GACGUAGGGGGCCAGCGUUGUUCGGAAUUACUGGGUGUAAAGGGUUCGUAGGCGGUGCGGCAAGUUGGGAGUGAAAUCUCUGGGCUUAACCCAGAGGCUGCUUCCAAAACUGCUGUGCUUGAGUGUGGGAGAGGCGCGUGGAAUUGCAGGUGUAGCGGUGAAAUGCGUAGAUAUCUGCAGGAACACCCGUGGCGAAAGCGGCGCGCUGGACCCCUACUGACGCUGAGGAACGAAAGCUAGGGGAGCAAACAGG
This 253-nucleotide ribosomal RNA is filed under the name uncultured bacterium. Its description in RNAcentral is "partial 16S ribosomal RNA". It matches the Rfam family "Bacterial small subunit ribosomal RNA", at positions 524 to 776 of the family's 1533-position model. The record is from RNAcentral.